Non-coding RNA from Podarcis lilfordi (Lilford's wall lizard), 5492 nucleotides. The record is from the annotation of a GenBank genome assembly. NCBI's taxonomy places the organism in Eukaryota, Metazoa, Chordata, Lepidosauria, Squamata, Lacertidae.
GUCACUGAUGUCACUAAAUGGCCAAAUCUGAUUGGUCAUAGAUUCAUAGAGGGACUACAAGGGUCAUCUAAGUCCAAUCCCACAAAAUGCAGGAAUCUUUGGGCCCAUGUGGGGUUCAAACCCACUACCUGGAGAAUAAGAGUCUCGUGCUCUACCAACUGAGCUAUCCCAGCUGGUCAUGUGGAUAAAUGAGAUCAUAGUGCUCAUUAUGUGAUUCUCGAGGUCAUAAAGGCCUUUUGAACCAUCAUCCCAACUUGUUACCAGUUUUCCUGCCAGCCAGGUGCUGAUUUGGGAAGGAUUCUAGAGGAAGAGGACAGUGGAAACAGCCGUGGCUAAUUCACUUGAAUCCCAGCUCAUAGACUAGAUAAGGGUGUUGCUGCUGUGGUACCCAAGGCAACACCAAAGGGAUUUAUCACUAGUUGGAUGAAGGUGUCACUUCUUCAAGUUUGUGUUGUUGAAUGUAGUUAUUUGGAAGGAAAGAAAGAGGAGAAUGUAAGGGAUGUAAUAUUGAGAACUGGAAUUGUGUGUGUGUUUUAGUGCCCAAGAGUGAAGGUCUCAGUUGUCAUAUUUUCGUGUGUCAUGAAGUUGCUUAAUAUCACUCAGUGUGAGCAACUGAACUGGUACAGAGUUAGACCAUGCCUGGGGGCGGGGGAGAUGGAGACAGAGUGGCUAUGUUGCUGUUUGUGUGGUAGUGUAUUAUCAUAGAUGGAGGUGGGAAUGAGCUGGUUGUGAAUUAUGUUUAAUGUUGCCAGAGAUUUUUGUACACCAGAUAUAUACUGUGACAAAUGGUUGGCCGGCUGGGGAUUAGCUGCGCUAUGAUAUGGUCUGCGGGAAUGGUAGAGUAUGUGAGAAACUUCAAGGGACAGUUGUUUUGUUUGGAUGCAAAUGAUGCUUUCAUAUCUGAUUUUUUAUUUUUUAUUGCACCUGAUUCUUACUUAAAAUGCUUUUUGAUGUUCAAUAGGAUAGUUUGGCUCCUUCUUAAUUAUGCCGCUCUCAGUGUGGAUCUUUAUGGUAUUUUGUGUUUGCUUUUCACUUGUAAUAUUUUAUUUUGAUAUCUCGUAAUGUUGUAUUCAAUGUUUUCAGAUAUGUUGUAAGCUAGUCCAGUUAUUUCCUAUCUGCUUUGGCCUGUGAUUUUCAUUCUGUAACAAUUUAUGUAUUCAGCAAUGUUUUGAUUUUGUAGUAAAACUGCACCUUCCUUGAUCCUAAGCUCUUGUCUACUGUCUAAGAAACCAAUUCCCCCAUAUACUAGGGUAAAGUAUAAUCUCCCCCUCGGCAUACUGUGACUUUGAGCUGAAAAGUCUUAUUACACAUGUGGCUCACAUGUUCACAUGCAUGCUACAUCAUGUGAUGCAAUGAAAAGUAGGGCUUUUGUGAUUCCCCAGUUUCUUUCCUACAUUGAUGUUCUGCUUUUCUUCCAGUGACUUCAGUGUGCUCCAACCAGCCUUCUCUUCAUGACAACCUUUUUAACUUUGUAUGUUUGCAACAGCAGCCAGGACAAUAAACAUGGAUGACGAGGUGAAGUGGAUUAAACAUGGGUCACAUUUAUUGAAUUAAAUACAACUAAGAUCUACAGCAGGGUUUCCCAAACUUGGGUCUCCAGCUGUUUUGGGGCUACAGUCCCCUUCAUUCCUGAGCAAUGGUCCUGCUAGCUAGGAAUGAUGGGAAGUUUGGGAAACCCUGAUGUUAUGUACUGAUUUGAAUAGGAUCCAAAAGGCGGCAGUCUGAUUGAUCCUAGAACAAUAGGAUUCAGAAUGCAGCAGUCUUACUGGUCCUAGAACAAUAGGGUCCAGAAUGCAGCAGUCUGAUUGGUCCACAGGACCCACCCAAUCCAGCUCCAGGUGGAAGUCAAUCCGCAACCUGAUUGGCCUACAGGUGAAUCCUGGAAUUAGCCAAUCACGUGGGGCCCAUUGUGUAAAUAAUGUAUAUAAAGCAGACGUUCUGGGGGAACUUCCAUUCCUCCUCACCACUAUGAGCUGAAUAAAGAGCAUGAAAUCCACUCUCGACUCCAAGUAUAUUUCACCUGAUCUACAGUGUAAUUAAGGUUGUAGGAAGCUAGCCGUAAACCAAUUUGGUGAAUUAACUCUGGCAGUCAGAAAAUUGGGAUGUUUUAAUGCCACACCUCAUGGAAGACCUAUCCCUAAGUGUGAAUAGGGAGACCAUCUUGGCCCAUUCCCCUCCCAUGGCAACACAACUUACAAGUUAGCUUCAGAGGUGAUUCUUAACCUAUCAGCAGGCCCCACAACUUUUGGAAGGAAAAUUGGGUCCCGCCUUUUCACCUGAGUGGAUGCUAACCAACCCGACCUUACCUUCAGAAUUCCUGCCUUGAGCUUGCCUUUGCAGAUGUUUUGUGUAUGGUCCUGAUCUCACAUUUGUCACUCACAAGCUCAUAAAAUUCAUGCCAUACGGGCUUGUGGUUGCUGAUCACUACUUAACUGCCACAUUUGUUACUUGAAUAAUCCAAGAGAAAAGACAUGUCUUGGCACAAGAGCCAUAAAGUUGUUCCCUGCCUUUUUAAAAAGUUAUAUAAUAAGCGUUGCUAAGCAGAAAGAUAAACUCCAACUUUGUGCUUGCUGAUGGGCCAUCUGGUUCACGUCCUCUUUAAGUCAGCUUUACAAUGCUUCCAUUCAUCUCUCUUUAUGAUAAGGCAAAAGGUAACUGUCAGCGAUGGCUCUGCAAACCAUAUGUCUUCCUGGGUGGCUGCUGAAUUAAAGAUAAUCAGAUCCACAGCAGAAAAAAUAUCCAAUUAAUAGAAUAGAGGCACGAUAAAACUUUCAGACAAGCUAGCUAGGUGCAAAAAAGGUAACUGCAGCUAACAGCUGGGUAGAAAGGGGGGAUUUCAACUGUUGUAGCUCGUAUGAUAUUUUACUCUGUGCUGAAUUGUGGUCAUUUUUUUAAAAAAACAAAUGCAUGGUAGGAAUAGCAGAGACAUUUGAUUCACUUCACAUUUAGAAGCGAGCUUAGCUAAUUUGCACUUUGCAAAUGCAUACUGAUACACAAUCAUCCUUCGACAUCCACACUUUUCAAAAUUGUGCAAUGGAGUUCUCCAGCCAAGUCAGGUGCACAAAAAUGUAUAUAAUCCUGUAAAGUGUACAUCAAAGCGUAUGCAUAUUUGUGAAAGUAAAAAGCAAAAGUGCAUUAGAUAUGGGGAAACUGCUUUGCCAAAAUGUGUAUAUUGGGGGAAAUUGCAUAGAUAAAUAUGUAUAUUAGGAAAAUAUUAUCUCUAAAAUGCUGCUGCAUUUUCAUGAGGAUUCUUUUUUAAAAAAUCACACACGGAUGUGGCUAUGGCGAGUAUCCAGCUGCAAAUAUACAACUAAGGUGAUGACAACUACACUUCCUGCAUGUGAAUGUGAAGAGGAGGUUUCUUUGACAGGUGCCCCAGACCUCCCAUCUGCUGAAGACUCACCAAAAGACUGAUCUUAAGGCUCUUUUGGAUGUUUUAUAGAGUUGUUUCAGACUAUCUUUGGUUACUGUUAUUUAUAUAUGUGUUACAUUACUUUGAAUUUCAUCACUUGAUUAUUACCACAUUUUGUCCACCCUGAACUCCUAAAAAGAAUAAAAUGAAAGAGGAGAGGACACCCUUAAUUCUUCUAGUUACUUGAGAAACCAUCUUAACCCAGUAGGUCACUGCACUUUUCAGUCUCCUUAAAGAAAGCCCUAAUAUAUCAGAAGCUCACUUGAGGGAAACUUGGAGCUGGGCAUUCAAUGUGGUUUCCCCUGUUUUGUGGGAAAGCAUCCCUCUUGAGAUACGGCCCGUGCCUCACUAUUUAUACUUCUUAGAAACAAGUGCCAACAAAGGCCCGUAUAGCUAAAGCUAUGGUUUUCCCAGUAGUGAUGUAUGGAAGUGAAAGCUGGACCAUAAAGAAGGCUGAUGGCCGAAGAAUUGAUGCUUUUGAAUUAUGGUGCUGGAGGAGACUCUUGAGAGUCCCAUGGACUGCAAGAACAUCAAACCUAUCCAUUCCCUGAGUGCUCACUGGAAGGACAGAUCCUGAAGCUGAGGCUCCAGUACUUUGGCCACCUCAUGAGAAGAGAAGACUUCCUGGAAAAGACCCUGAUGUUGGGAAAGAUUGAGGGCACAAGGAGAAGGGGAUGACAGAGGACGAGAUGGUUGGACAGUGUUCUCGAAGCUAUCAGCAUGAGUCUGACCAGACUGCGGGAGGCAGUGGAAGACAGGAGUGCCUGGCGUGCUCUGGUCCAUGGGAUCACGAAGAGUCUGACAUGACUAAGCAACAACAACAACAAAGAAACAAGUGGAGGAUUUUUUUUACAAGGUUUUUCAGUUUUUCAAACCUAUCUUUAGUUUUAAAAUUGUUUUAAAAAUCUAUUUUAGUUGUGUUUAUUGUGUAGUAAAUCACCUUGAGACUCAUGUGCAAGAGGACUGAUGAUGAUGAUGAUACAGUUAGGAUAAAACUUUUCAUUAUUUCUCAUUGCUGUUUCAGGUUUCCAACAUUUAAGCAUGUGGGUUGCACACGCUCUUUAAGCUCAUAGCUUUUAGAAGGCUUUAUUCUAGUCUUCUUGCAUUUUGCUAUCUUACAAUGUUUGAUUGAUGAGUGCUCACCUGUUAUGUAGAAUGAGUGUGCCAUCUGUGUACCUGUACACUCUUUGUUAUUCACAUAUAAUGUUCAAUGUGUGCGCACUCUGUGUACAUGUGAAUAAAACAGUUAAGUUGCACAGAUCAACAAGUAUAUACUCUCCUGCAGAAGCACUUGUAAAGUACAAGUGUAGUGUCAGUACUUGUGUUCAGGGCAACAUGUGUAACAAGCGUUGAUUUAUGGCAGUUUAUUGUACUUGUUCUGUAUAUUUUGUUUUAAUGUGCUACUCACCACUUGGGCAGCCUUUGGGCCCAAAAGCAGUAUAUAAACAAACUGCAUUAAACAAGCAAGCAAACGGAUAGAUGGCUCAUAUAUGAAUGUAUUAAUUUAUUUCCAUUUAAAAGCACUGUGCUCCAGGUGACAUUAAGAGAUUUGAAAGCUGUAAGACAGAUAUGCGAUAUGCAAAUCAGUAUAGGACAUUACAGAGUAAUUUGAGCACUGAAUAUACAUGUGAACUGCUCUUGAAACUGCUCUAGAAUAGCAACAAUAUUUCAGUAUAUGCUUUAUUAUAGUCUGCUAUUAAUAGAGAUGUCAUUAUGAUUUUCCUUCUUUAUACUCACCCUGAGCCUUUGAGAUAGAAAGAGCUUAAAAACAAAACAAAACCUCAGACCAGAUAAAAUACAAUGUAAAAUUGAUGUAAAUAUUUGGUUAUGGAGCAAUUUCUGCAUGUUCUGUAUCACUACAGUUUCCCUUUUAGGAUUUGACAGUGCAUUUUGCUUGCAAUUUAUUUGCAGAAAUCCAUCUUUCGGAAUUCACCGGGGGCUCUGAAAGCGUGUUUUUGUGUGUGCCUGAACCCCAGUUCAAACCAGAAGACCCCUAGAGGCCACCCCGUUCUUUUAACUGUCUGUAAAAGCUAACAUACUUUAUCAUGCCUGCUGUGAAAUGGCUAACUUAAUACACAAG